CCUACGGGUGGCAGCAGUGAGGAAUAUUGGUCAAUGGGCGCGAGCCUGAACCAGCCAAGUAGCGUGAAGGAUGACUGCCCUCCGGGUUGUAAACUUCUUUUGUAAAGGAGUAAAGUGAGGCACGUGUGCCUUUUUGUAUGUACUUUAUGAAUAAGGGUCGGCUAACUCCGUGCCAGCAGCCGCGGUAAUACGGAGGAUCCGAGCGUUAUCCGGAUUUAGUGGGUUUAAAGGGAGCGUAGAUGGGUUGUUAAGUCAGUUGUGAAAGUUUGCGGCUUAACCGUAAAAUUGCAAUUGAUACUGGCAGUCUUGAGUACAGUUGAGGUAGGCGGAAUUCGAGGUGUAGCGGUGAAAUGCGUAGAUAUGACGAAGAACUCCGAUGGCGAAGGCAGCCUACUA
RNAcentral lists this ribosomal RNA (396 nucleotides) under uncultured bacterium. Its description in RNAcentral is "partial 16S ribosomal RNA". It matches the Rfam family "Bacterial small subunit ribosomal RNA", at positions 338 to 731 of the family's 1533-position model. The record is from RNAcentral.